Molecule: ribosomal RNA, 305 nt
Filed under: uncultured bacterium
Lineage: Bacteria
Description: bacterial SSU rRNA
Rfam family: Bacterial small subunit ribosomal RNA
Source: RNAcentral
UCCUACGGGACGCAGCAGUGAGGAAUAUUGGUCAAUGGGCGCGAGCCUGAACCAGCCAAGUCGCGUGAGGGAAGACGGUCCUAUGGAUUGUAAACCUCUUUUGUCGGGGAGCAAAAGACGCCACGCGUGGCGUUCCGAGAGUACCCGAAGAAAAAGCAUCGGCUAACUCCGUGUCAGCAGCCGCGGUAAUACGUAGGGGGCAAGCGUUAUCCGGAUUUACUGGGUGUAAAGGGAGCGUAGACGGCGCGGCAAGUCUGAAGUGAAAGGCAGGGGCUUAACCCCUGAACUGCUUUGGAAACUGCCAU